UUACAAGACACAGUUUGGUCACGAAGGUAAUAGACACGUCUUAUCAGGGCACGCUCAGUUGAUCCCUUGUUUCCAUAUUUAACUAAUCUCGUUGUGCAAGCGAAUUUGUCUAGAUAACUCUAGAUUGGCAGAUGGAAAUAAGCUGAUAUUAAAUAUUUGGAAUGUUGUCAACAGUAAUAGAGAUUAGUAGCAAGGAAUUCUUGAAAAAAUAUCUCAGACCAGCUUGCUAAGUGCUAAAAAUAUUUGUUUGAAAACUCAAAAAGUGAGAAUCAGUAUGACUUGCACCUUUUAUGAAAUAGUGAGUAAUUUAUUUAUAAGA
Molecule: unclassified non-coding RNA, 319 nt
Filed under: Stegodyphus dumicola
Lineage: Eukaryota; Metazoa; Arthropoda; Arachnida; Araneae; Eresidae
Description: spermatogenesis-associated protein 22-like, transcript variant X1
Source: RNAcentral